Molecule: ribosomal RNA, 253 nt
Filed under: uncultured bacterium
Lineage: Bacteria
Description: partial 16S ribosomal RNA
Rfam family: Bacterial small subunit ribosomal RNA
Source: RNAcentral
UACGGGGGGGGCAAGCGUUGUUCGGAAUUACUGGGCGUAAAGGGCUCGUAGGCGGCCAACUAAGUCAGACGUGAAAUCCCUCGGCUUAACCGGGGAACUGCGUCUGAUACUGGAUGGCUUGAGAUUGGGAGAGGGAUGCGGAAUUCCAGGUGUAGCGGUGAAAUGCGUAGAUAUCUGGAGGAACACCGGUGGCGAAGGCGGCCUGCUGGGCAGUUGCUGACACUGAGGCGCGACAGCGUGGGGAGCAAACAGG